Molecule: ribosomal RNA, 768 nt
Filed under: Agromyces sp.
Lineage: Bacteria; Bacillati; Actinomycetota; Actinomycetes; Micrococcales; Microbacteriaceae
Description: bacterial SSU rRNA
Rfam family: Bacterial small subunit ribosomal RNA
Source: RNAcentral
UGAAGCCCAGCUUGCUGGGUGGAUUAGUGGCGAACGGGUGAGUAACACGUGAGUAACCUGCCCUGGACUCUGGGAUAACCCCGAGAAAUCGGAGCUAAUACCGGAUAGGACCUUUCCUCGCAUGAGGUUUGGUGGAAAGUUUUUCGGUUUGGGAUGGACUCGCGGCCUAUCAGCUUGUUGGUGAGGUAAUGGCUCACCAAGGCGUCGACGGGUAGCCGGCCUGAGAGGGUGACCGGCCACACUGGGACUGAGACACGGCCCAGACUCCUACGGGAGGCAGCAGUGGGGAAUAUUGCACAAUGGGCGCAAGCCUGAUGCAGCAACGCCGCGUGCGGGAUGACGGCCUUCGGGUUGUAAACCGCUUUUAGUAGGGAAGAAGGGCUUCGGCUUGACGGUACCUGCAGAAAAAGGACCGGCUAACUACGUGCCAGCAGCCGCGGUAAUACGUAGGGUCCGAGCGUUGUCCGGAAUUAUUGGGCGUAAAGAGCUCGUAGGCGGUUUGUCGCGUCUGCUGUGAAAACUAGAGGCUCAACCUCUAGCCUGCAGUGGGUACGGGCAGACUUGAGUGGUGUAGGGGAGACUGGAAUUCCUGGUGUAGCGGUGGAAUGCGCAGAUAUCAGGAGGAACACCGAUGGCGAAGGCAGGUCUCUGGGCACUUACUGACGCUGAGGAGCGAAAGCGUGGGGAGCGAACAGGAUUAGAUACCCUGGUAGUCCACGCCGUAAACGUUGGGCGCUAGAUGUGGGGACCUUUCCACGGUUUCCGUGU